This is a long non-coding RNA of Zingiber officinale, 375 nucleotides long. RefSeq lists it as uncharacterized. NCBI's taxonomy places the organism in Eukaryota, Viridiplantae, Streptophyta, Magnoliopsida, Zingiberales, Zingiberaceae. The record is from RefSeq and is a predicted model, not a curated record. The transcript has 2 exons.
GAUACAAGUACAGUUGACCGGAGGAGGACUUCAGACGACUUGGUCAACGCAGCGGACAGAUCAUCCACCGGGUCAAGAGGAUGCGGUCAACCCUCCAGACACGUCAUACCGGCAGGUUCGUCUUCUCAACUCCCAGACAGGAUCAACAACAAUUGAAUCGAAGAAGUAGAAAGUAAUACGAAAUAAGAAUUUACUAAAAGAGGUUGUGGAUCAUUACCUCCAAGAUAACUGAAAGAAACACAACCAAUAGAAAGUCCACGAGGAAGCAUUCAGUAACAAUUUACUUGUAAUUUCAUUUCAUUUUUUUUUUAAAUUGUUACAUAUGAUUCAAUUGUAAUUAUAUUCUUUAUAUAGUGAUGAUUUUGAACCUAAGCA